Molecule: ribosomal RNA, 253 nt
Filed under: uncultured bacterium
Lineage: Bacteria
Description: partial 16S ribosomal RNA
Rfam family: Bacterial small subunit ribosomal RNA
Source: RNAcentral
UACGAAGGGGGCUAGCGUUGCUCGGAAUCACUGGGCGUAAAGGGCGCGUAGGCGGACGUUUAAGUCAGAGGUGAAAGCCCAGGGCUCAACCCUGGAAUGGCCUUUGAUACUGGACGUCUCGAGACCGGAAGAGGUUGGUGGAACUGCGAGUGUAGAGGUGAAAUUCGUAGAUAUUCGCAAGAACACCAGUGGCGAAGGCGGCCAACUGGUCCGGUUCUGACGCUGAGGCGCGAAAGCGUGGGGAGCAAACAGG